RNAcentral lists this transfer RNA (62 nucleotides) under uncultured Pelagophyceae. It matches the Rfam family "tRNA", at positions 7 to 64 of the family's 71-position model. From Rfam's summary of the family: Transfer RNA (tRNA) molecules are approximately 80 nucleotides in length. Lineage: Eukaryota; Pelagophyceae. The record is from RNAcentral.
UGUAACUUAAUGGUUAGAGUUAACCGCUCAUAACGGUUUUGUGUAGGUUCAAUUCCUGCCUG